This 421-nucleotide ribosomal RNA is filed under the name uncultured eukaryote. Its description in RNAcentral is "SSU rRNA". It matches the Rfam family "Eukaryotic small subunit ribosomal RNA", at positions 592 to 1018 of the family's 1831-position model. The record is from RNAcentral.
CAAUAGCGUAUAUUAAAGUUGUUGCAGUUAAAAGCUCGUAGUUGGAUCUCGGGUCCAGGCCUGCGGUCCGCCUCGCGGCGGUUACUGCUCGUCCUGGCCUACCUGCCGGUGUGUCCCUUGGUGCUCUUGAUUGAGUGUCUCGGGCGGCCGGAACGUUUACUUUGAAAAAUUAGAGUGUUCAAAGCAGGCGUGUCGCCUGAAUAAUGGUGCAUGGAAUGAUGGAAUAGGACCUCGGUUCUAUUUUGUUGGUUUUCGGAGCUCGAGGUAAUGAUUAAGAGGGACUGACGGGGGCAUUCGUAUUGCGGUGUUAGAGGUGAAAUUCUUGGAUCAUCGCAAGACGAACUACAGCGAAAGCAUUUGCCAAGCAUGUUUUCAUUAAUCAAGAACGAAAGUCAGAGGUUCGAAGACGAUCAGAUACCAU